Molecule: long non-coding RNA, 737 nt
Filed under: Heterocephalus glaber (naked mole-rat)
Lineage: Eukaryota; Metazoa; Chordata; Mammalia; Rodentia; Bathyergidae
Description: lncRNA (ENSHGLG00100039660.1)
Source: RNAcentral
ACAGGGAAUUGGAUUAUUUAGAAGGGGGAUGUUAUGGCUUAUAUCUAGAUGCCCUCCCAAAGCUCAUAUGUGGGCUUGCGGAAGGUGAUUCAAUUAUGGGGGCUUAUAGCUGUGCUGUUAAGAGGUGGAGUCUGGUCAGAAGAAGUAAAUCAGUAGGAGAGGCCUGGAAGGGUUUACCUUACUCCUCAGCUCCUCCCUUCUCUCUCUACUUUCUGGAUGCCAUGAGACGAUCAGCUUUUCUUCUGCCACGCCCCUGUGCCAUGCCAUCCUGCCAUGGAGCCAGAUGAACAUGGUCUGAAAUAUGUUGUCUUCAACUUUCUUGCUUCCUAUGCUACAAGGAAUGAACCUGAUCCUUUCUGUCCUGCAGCUCCAGGUCCAGAAACACAUGUGUAAAAUAUUCUUGAAGAAAAGCAGUGUUCUCAUCACAAAAAUGACAACUAUGUGAGCAAUGAAAGAAUAAUUGUGCCCAUUUCCUUGGGAACCAUAGUUCUCACUCUGCAAGAAGGAACAAGCAAAUAUGGGAUGGCAGAAGCCAGGCAUGGUGGUGCACGCCUGUGAUCCCAGCACUUGGGAGGCUGUGGCAGGAGGGCUGUCAUGAGUUUGAGGCCAGCCUGAACUACACAGGAAGAUCCUGUCUCAAAAAACAUUAAAAAAUUAAAAUUAUCUUUCUCUUUCAAAUCUUACAACUAAUCCAUACACUGUAAUUUUUAAAGUAGAACAAUUUCCUGGCUUCAAAG